This is a long non-coding RNA of Ornithodoros turicata, 351 nucleotides long. RefSeq lists it as uncharacterized. Lineage: Eukaryota; Metazoa; Arthropoda; Arachnida; Ixodida; Argasidae. The transcript has 4 exons. The record is from RefSeq and is a predicted model, not a curated record.
AGGUACGUGCCUCUCUUGUCCUGCCCGAGGGAUCAUGACGCGUACAUGCUGCUUCUCUUCCAGUUUUUUCCACUGUUCCAUCAGCGACUGUGCAAACAUAGGGCACAUGGCCACUCUUAUGCUGCGUUUUUUGAAGUUUUUUCCACUGUUCCAUCAGCGACUGUGCAAACAUAGGGCACAUGGCCACUCUUAUGCUGCGUUUUUUGAAGUUUUUUCCACUGUUCCAUCAGCGAUUGUGCAAACAUAGGGCACAUGGCCACUCUUAUGCUGCGUUUUUUGAAGUUUUUUCCACUGUUCCAUCAGCGACUGUGCAAACAUAGGGCACAUGGCCACUCUUAUGCUGCGUUUUUU